AUGCGUUGUUGGGUAGGGGAGCGUUCUGUAAGCCUGUGAAGGUGUGCUGUGAGGCAUGCUGGAGGUAUCAGAAGUGCGAAUGCUGACAUAAGUAACGAUAAAGCGGGUGAAAAGCCCGCUCGCCGGAAGACCAAGGGUUCCUGUCCAACGUUAAUCGGGGCAGGGUGAGUCGACCCCUAAGGCGAGGCCGAAAGGCGUAGUCGAUGGGAAACAGGUUAAUAUUCCUGUACUUGGUGUUACUGCGAAGGGGGGACGGAGAAGGCUAUGUUGGCCGGGCGACGGUUGUCCCGGUUUAAGCGUGUAGGCUGGUUUUCCAGGCAAAUCCGGAAAAUCAAGGCUGAGGCGUGAUGACGAGGCACUACGGUGCUGAAGCAACAAAUGCCCUGCUUCCAGGAAAAGCCUCUAAGCAUCAGGUAACAUCAAAUCGUACCCCAAACCGACACAGGUGGUCAGGUAGAGAAUACCAAGGCGCUUGAGAGAACUCGGGUGAAGGAACUAGGCAAAAUGGUGCCGUAACUUCGG
Molecule: ribosomal RNA, 522 nt
Filed under: Escherichia coli
Lineage: Bacteria; Pseudomonadati; Pseudomonadota; Gammaproteobacteria; Enterobacterales; Enterobacteriaceae
Description: partial 23S ribosomal RNA
Rfam family: Bacterial large subunit ribosomal RNA
Source: RNAcentral